GGACUACACGGGUAUCUAAUCCUGUUUGCUCCCCUAGCUUUCGCGCCUCAGCGUCAGGUUUGGCACAGAAAACCGUCUUCACCACCGGUGUUCUUCCACAUAUCUACGCAUUUCACCGCUACACGUGGAAUUCCGUUUUCCCUUACCAACCUCUAGCUGGUCAGUUUCUAAUGCAGCUCCGGGGUUGAGCCCCGGAAUUUCACAUCAGACUUCUCCUGCCGCCUACGCGCCCUUUACACCCAGUAAUUCCGAUCAAUGCUUGCACCCUCCGUAUUACCGCGGCUGCUGGCAC
RNAcentral lists this ribosomal RNA (292 nucleotides) under uncultured bacterium. RNAcentral describes it as "partial 16S ribosomal RNA". The record is from RNAcentral.